This is an RNA transcript of Gasterosteus aculeatus aculeatus (three-spined stickleback), 3159 nucleotides long. It is a transcript of the gene named pleckstrin homology-like domain, family A, member 1, with no coding region annotated. The record is from RefSeq and is a predicted model, not a curated record. NCBI's taxonomy places the organism in Eukaryota, Metazoa, Chordata, Actinopteri, Perciformes, Gasterosteidae.
CCCGUGACACACUGGUGUACCUGCCACCUUGUACCGGAAGAGGGCGCCAUUGCCCACAGAAUAUAAUGUAAGAGGGUUUUUGACCUGCAUGGGGAACACUGUACUUAAAUCAAAGUGACCACAUCACCUCCCUGCAACCACAUAUAGACGCAUUUACAUCAAUGUAUUUAACCAAAUGUUUACAUUAUAAUGAGCAUGACCAGUUUAGGACCCCUGAAGUGUCGGGUCAACAUAGAAGCCGAACAUUGUAGCACAUGUUUGUCGUUAUGUUUCACCAUUCAUAAUGUCCUGGCUGGUAGGUAGCAACUUGAGCUGCAUAAAGACCACAUUUCUUUUCAGUUUGUUUCCUACACGCUUUUGGCAGGUGACAUUUGGUAUUAUUGUUUUCUUUCCUUUAUGCCUCUGCUCAUUCAUCAGAUGUAUCUUUAUUGAAACCCUGGUAAUUUACUACUACAAUGUAUGCAAAAAUGAUAGUAUAGUACCUCAAUGAAUUGUACUGUAAACGUGAACCUUUUUUUUGCUAUUUGUUGUGCAACUUAUCUCCACUAGGGCUUUGCUGGACAGUAAAGUCCCCUUAUAAUGUGUUCAUUUGUGAGAGUUUGGGGGCUGGGUACCUCUGAGGGGGGCGGCGCACCUCUCCAGCAGACCCCUCCCGCCCCUCUCACACUGUGACCAGCAGCCAGACAGACAGUCUCCAUCCCACCACAACCAAACCCUUCUGCGCGCCGCAUCUAAUGCCUCCGCCUGCUCCGGGAUAGACCGCCGCCGUCCGUCCGACCGACCGACUGUCCGCCCGCUGCAGCUCCCUGAAGCGACCGGACGAGGAUGCUGGAAAACGGGAUGAAGGUGUACAAGGAGGGUCUGCUGGAGAAGCGGAGCGACGGGCUGCUGCAGCUGUGGAAGAAGAAGCACUGCGUCCUGACCGAGGACAGCGUGCUGCUGCUGCCGCCGAAGCAGCACGACCAGCCACAGCAGCACCACCAUCACCACCACCAGCAGCAGCAGCCGCACCAGGGCGGCGGGGACACGGGCAAAGUCAAGGAGCUGCACUUCGCCAACAUGAAGACGGUGGACUGCGUGGAGCGCAAGGGCAAGUACGUGUACUUCACGGUGGUCAUGGCGGAGGGCAAGGAGAUCGACUUCAGGUGCCCGCAGGACGAGGGCUGGAACGCGGCGAUCACAUUGCAGAUGGUCCAGUACAAGAACCGACAGGCGAUCCUGGCCGUAAAGUCCACUCGGCAGAAGCAGCAGCUGCUCGUCGUGCAGAUGCCCGGCCAGAAGACGGUCCGCAGCCCGCCAAACGUAGCGUGACCCGCGGCCAGUCCCGCGGACUUGGGUGCGCCAAUAGUGGGUAAGACACAGAGCGAAAGGGACGGUGGGGCUCCCCGGGUCCGGGGACCACCUGGCGAUCCCCUUUGCAAAUGAAGGACCUGUAUUUUGGGUGAAAUCAUUUCUUCCAUGGAUCUUUGUGCUUAAAAGGAGGACAUCUGUUUCCAUCAUAGGCGACAGUCCUCCUCGCAGACCAGACCCUGAGCAAAAAUGACAGAGGGGACGAAAUUAGUACAAAAUGAGGAUUUACUUUGGCAUAAAGUGAAGUUUGGGAGCCUCUGCUAAAGGCCUACCCACAUGCUCCCCUCAUCGAGAUACAAUAUGCUGGAUAUCCAUUCCCAGACAGGUUAGUUGGAAACUCGGUUGGAAGAUGGGUAUCGACGAGGGUCUCCCCCUGCCGCUUCAACACAGACCUCCACUCUGCAGGACCCCUCUUCCAUGUGCUGAGGUCCACAUACCAGCCUCCCCUUUUCAAUACAGAGACUCCUUUCACAAAAGACUGAUGGACAAAAAUCAUGUGACCACAACUGUACUGUUGUGAUGGGUUUAUCCUCUAUUUAUUAGAUGUAUAUAUAUUUUCUAUAAAACAAAUGUGUUUGUCAAUGAAUGUUCAGUGUGUUUGUUUCCAGAGAGGAACAAGAAAUGCUCGCUCGGCGCCUUCCUACCCCACGUGUUACACUCAUAGUCCCCUGGGAAUAAUCUUACAUAUAGUUAUUUUAGGAUGGUGGCUGUAGGUAAUCAAGUCAUUACUUGGGAAAUGUUUCGAUUAUUGACCAUGUUUUUAUUUUUCAACUGAACCAAAGAAUCAUUCUGUUAUGUUUUUGCUCUUGUGCAGUGUUACAGCUCAGAAUAUACUAAAUACCACAGAUAUCUGAUACCUGCAUGCCUGCUUGAUUUCCGAAUAGCACCAACAUCUUAGUAUUUUUAUUGUGCGCAUCAAUCGCUUUCCAGCGUUUUUAGAGAAACAAGCUAUAUCUUGAUUUCGUAUGAGUCUUAAAUCGUAGUCAGUUUUUUUUACAGUGGUCAUAGAGAGAAGCUUAGUAAGUAACAUGCCCAGUUUUUGUUGUAUUGACUGUUCUAAAGACAAUUUCAUGUUUGCAUUACAUUGUAGUGAGUGGGGACCAAUAACCCUUUUGUUCUGGCUUCAUGAUGUGGUGUGAAACCUAAAGCUGAAGGACACCAAUAGACCCAGCCUAAACCUUGUAAUUAAUACCCCCCCCCCCCCCACCACACCUAAAAAAUACUUCUUGGUUAAGGAGAUCCUCAACAACAAAAAACAACAUAGACAUAAGUCAGCACCAAUCUGUUUCUUGAAUAAACUGGAUUUGUUGUCACAUUAGAUAAUGUUCAUGUUUCUAAUGGAGGGUUUGAAGUUUCUCCAGGACAAAAUUAACCAGCUUCAUAAUGUAUCUGUUGUGAAGGUGGCGAUAUACAGGGCAACAUUUAGCGAAACGUGACGGACAACUACUUCCUGUGUAGUCUUUGUCCUGAUGAUGGGAUGUUGUUCUGUCAGGAAACAUUUGACCUAAUUGUUGCUGGUGUUUCUUCCUGUUUGCUGGAAAGUGUUCCCCACUGCUUUCCCCCCCCUUGCCAUCGACUAGAGCCAAACCAACACAUGCCUUGGUGGUGUUGUCAUCUCCCACACAGGGUAAUAGCUGUGCCCUUUAUCUAAUGCUACUGGUGUGAUGCUUCCCCGACAUGCCUUCCUGUUGCCAUCAUUGCACACACAGUUACAGCUGUGCCCUCUCUCUGUCCAAUUCCUUAUUUCAAUGUGAGAUCUAUUUUCAUACCUCGAAAAGACACAUUCCAUUAAAAGAAACAAAAUGAAAA